Molecule: ribosomal RNA, 253 nt
Filed under: uncultured bacterium
Lineage: Bacteria
Description: partial 16S ribosomal RNA
Rfam family: Bacterial small subunit ribosomal RNA
Source: RNAcentral
UACGUAGGGGGCUAGCGUUGUUCGGAAUCACUGGGCGUAAAGGGAGCGUAGGCGGCGUGGUAAGUCAGAUGUGAAAUCCCGGGGCUCAACCCCGGAACUGCAUCCGAUACUGCCAUGCUAGAGGAUUGGAGAGGUAGCUGGAAUUCUUGGUGUAGCAGUGAAAUGCGUGGAUAUCAAGAGGAACACUCGUGGCGAAAGCGAGCUACUGGACAAUUCCUGACGCUGAGGCUCGAAGGCUAGGGUAGCGAAAGGG